RNAcentral lists this ribosomal RNA (566 nucleotides) under uncultured Glomus. RNAcentral's name for it is "bacterial SSU rRNA". It matches the Rfam family "Eukaryotic small subunit ribosomal RNA", at positions 539 to 1102 of the family's 1831-position model. Lineage: Eukaryota; Fungi; Glomeromycota; Glomeromycetes; Glomerales; Glomeraceae. The record is from RNAcentral.
AAUUCGAUUUGGAGGGCAAGUCUGGUGCCAGCAGCCGCGGUAAUUCCAGCUCCAAUAGCGUAUAUUAAAGUUGUUGCAGUUAAAAAGCUCAUAGUUGAAUUUCGGGAUCAGCAUAUCGGUCAUGCCUUCUUGGCUUGCACUGGUGCUGUUGAUCUCCCCCUUCUAGCGAAUCGUUAUGUCUUUAAUUAGGCGUAACGGGGAACUAGGACUGUUACUUUGAAAAAAUUAGAGUGUUUAAAGCAGGCUUUACGCUUGAAUACAUUAGCAUGGAAUAAUGAAAUAGGACGGCAUGAUCCUAUUUUGUUGGUUUCUAGGGUCACCGUAAUGAUUAAUAGGGAUAGUUGGGGGCAUUAGUAUUCAAUUGUCAGAGGUGAAAUUCUUGGAUUUAUUGAAGACUAACUACUGCGAAAGCAUUUGCCAAGGAUGUUUUCAUUAAUCAAGAACGAAAGUUAGGGGAUCGAAGACGAUCAGAUACCGUCGUAGUCUUAACCAUAAACUAUGCCGACUAGGAAUCAGACUCAGUUUAUUUUUUAAUGACGAGUUCGGCGCCUUACGGGAAACAAUCA